Molecule: ribosomal RNA, 433 nt
Filed under: uncultured bacterium
Lineage: Bacteria
Description: partial 16S ribosomal RNA
Rfam family: Bacterial small subunit ribosomal RNA
Source: RNAcentral
AACGAACGCUGGCGGCAGGCCUAACACAUGCAAGUCGAGCGAGGACUUCGGUCCUAGCGGCGGACGGGUGAGUAACGCGUGGGAACGUGCCCUUUGCUUCGGAAUACACCUGGGAAACUGGGAGUAAUACCGGAUGAGCCCUUUGGGGGAAAGAUUUAUCGGCGAAGGAUCGGGCCGCGUUGGAUUGGGUAGUUGGUGGGGUAAUGGCCUACCAAGCCGACGAUCCAUAGCUGGUGUGAGAGGAUGAUCAGCCACACUGGGACUGAGACACGGCCCAGACUCCUACGGGAGGCAGCAGUGGGGAAUCUUAGACAAUGGGGGAAACCCUAAUCUAGCCAUGCCGCGUGAGCGAUGAAGGCCUUAGGGUUGUAAAGCUCUUUCAGCUGGGAAGAUAAUGACGGUACCAGCAGAAGAAGCCCCGGCUAACUCCGUG